Long non-coding RNA from Rhipicephalus sanguineus (brown dog tick), 512 nucleotides. RefSeq lists it as uncharacterized. The record is from RefSeq and is a predicted model, not a curated record. NCBI's taxonomy places the organism in Eukaryota, Metazoa, Arthropoda, Arachnida, Ixodida, Ixodidae. The transcript has 3 exons.
UGGACAGCAUCCAAAAAAACACAUCUCAACUCGAACAGGUUAACACUACUAUUUCCGUCCUCGGCCAAAUGACAAAACCAUACGUUACACCAGAUGAAUGGGCUGCCUUUUUUUCCACGUACACAAAUGGCACCUAUGGAGGUUCAGACCAAAUUUUGUAUGACUCACAUCUUCCCACAAUUCUCGUGAAACUCAUCAGCAACAAGUCGGUGGGCGAAGAAGGGCUACGAUACAUAGUCGCCUGGAGCGUGUACAGGCAGCUGGCCCAGUUCACUGACCCAUACAUGUUUCUUCGGGGCAGGACUACAAGCGAUGCUUGUUACGAGCACGUUAGAAAAGUCAUGAAUUUGGCGGUCAUCAGCCCCUUUUUCCUGUCUGAUCGCCGCCCACGAGUUUAUGCACGCGUUCGAUGCACAAGGCAUAACAACUUUUGGAGGUGAUAACAGGCAAAACGGGGAAGCGUUCCGGAAGGAAUAUACAAAACGGGCCCUGUGCCUGCGGAAGUCACAUAG